This 253-nucleotide ribosomal RNA is filed under the name uncultured bacterium. RNAcentral describes it as "partial 16S ribosomal RNA". It matches the Rfam family "Bacterial small subunit ribosomal RNA", at positions 524 to 776 of the family's 1533-position model. The record is from RNAcentral.
GACAGAGGGUGCAAACGUUGUUCGGAAUUACUGGGCGUAAAGCGCGUGUAGGCGGCUCUGCAAGUCGGAUGUGAAAUCCCACGGCUCAACCAUGGAAGUGCAUUCGAAACUGCAGGGCUAGAGUCCUGGAGGGGAAGGUGGAAUGCUUGGUGUAGAGGUGAAAUUCGUAGAUAUCAAGCGGAACACCGGUGGCGAAGGCGGCCUUCUGGACAGUGACUGACGCUGAGACGCGAAAGCGUGGGGAGCAAACAGG